RNAcentral lists this unclassified non-coding RNA (3500 nucleotides) under Megachile rotundata (alfalfa leafcutting bee). RNAcentral's name for it is "uncharacterized LOC100879765, transcript variant X1". Lineage: Eukaryota; Metazoa; Arthropoda; Insecta; Hymenoptera; Megachilidae. The record is from RNAcentral.
UUUAACCAUUUCUCGUAACAAUUAAGGUUGAAAUGCACAAGUAAAUUAUAAAUUGUCAUACCCCCGCAUAGUACUAUCGCAACUAUUUUAACAAAGGAAAGAGAAAUUCUGUAUCAUCGAGCUGGUUGCGCGGACAAAUUUAAAAGUAAGCGCGCAAAGGUAUAGAUCGUCAGGUAGACCAUUCAGAUUACGCAGGACAAAACUUGUUCACAACAAUCUAUAUUCAGUUUUCUACAUCCUUGCGCGCCGGGAGUAUUGAUCCAGCGACAUUUAACAAAUGAUGGCACAUCCUUAACCGCACCCAUGCUCCUGCCGAUAUUAUCUCGACGUUUAUUCAUAUUUAUUUUCUACUCCUCAUUGUUACUCCUUUGAGAGUCAAUAAUUUUCAGAAAAGAGGCAGUUCAUAAAAAUGAAUAUGAAACGAUAAACAUGAAAGAAUUAUUCAAUGAUUAUUUAUAUAAUCGUACGCAAAAAAUUUGUAUGAGUAAAGCGAUUGUUUAUCGUUUUGAAUGCAUGGAUACAUUUUGUGAAUGUAUAUGUAUUACGAAUACAUGUACACGAAUUAUUGAAUGCGAGUCUAAUUUCAUUUCGAAAAAGAUAUCCUGAAGUAUAUUCGUUGUUAAAAUAUCGAUUCAAAAUGUCAAUUUAACUCCUGUUCAAGACCGACUAUUCAUGCAGUCCUUGAUAUAUUUUCUUCAUUAUAAAACUUCAACCUAACCAAGAGGAAAUGGCUUUUAUUAUAGAAAACAGACAAGUCAGUGAAAUAAAUAAUAAAGGCAAAGAACAAUUUCUUUCUUUUGAAAUGAAAGAGGAUUAUAGCUUUAAGUAUGUACCUGAAAGUCAUUUUAAGCAUAUAGUAAAAAAUGUUCAGAGACAAAGACGUAAAGAAGAUGAGGAACGUAUCUGGACUUCAUUUAUAAAAGAACAGGAGUUAAAUAAUUUUGGUUUUUGUAAACAAGAUGAUCACCGAUCUAUGCUAAAUGUUAAAGACCUGUUGCAAGAAAACAUACAAGACGUAGAUACAGAACUUAAGAGACUGCAAGAAGAUGCUCUUCCUGAACGAAAUAAAAGAAUUCAUAAUAACAAAUCUGGUAUUAGAAGGGAAAAGAUUCAUAUAGAAGCAAACCAAUCGAAGAGUGACUCUCCAAAAGAAAAGUUAUUAAUAAAGGAUAAAAGUAAUGCAGGUACUAAUGUCUCAAUUCCAAUUUCACGAGAAGAUAAUGUUUCUCCAUACAAAGAAUCUGAAGGAUUCAAAAAGAUUUCUAGAUCAAAAACUAAAAAAUCUCGGUCAGAUUCUUUGAUCAUGCAAAAGAAGUAUUACACAAAUGAACUUCUUCGUGCAACCAACCAUUUUGAAAAUAACUCAGACUCAGACUCCAGUAAUAAUAAAGAUGAUGUUGUCUAUAUACAACCAGACCCAUUCAUGAUACAAAAAAUUUUAUCCAUGCAAAAAAAAGUUGCUGAGUUAUUAAAUGAAAUUUCAUUUAGAUUGUGCAGAAUUCCUUUGCCAGACGGUGAUAAUGAUUUAAAAAGAAGACAACAGCAGACUGUAGAGUUUGCGAUAUGGUUUUCAAGAAAUUAUCUGUACAAUCUUAACAGACUUGUUACAAGCAUUCAAAGACACAUCAGGAUCGUGUCUUCCAGGGUAGGAUUAAAUCGACAUAAGAACAUUGCACUUCAUCAAGACAUGAUCAGACAAAAACUGAUCACUGCUCAUCAAUUAUUAGUUCAGGCUUUAAAUGCUUAUUGUAAGCAUAUCCCUAACUCCAUUCUCGAAAGUCAUUGUACAAAACUUCGUGAUGUAUUACAAGUUGUUUAUGAUCUGGGAGAUAUUUGUGAUAAAGUUGAGAUCUCUGCCAAUUAUUUUUGUUCAGGAGAUACGACUAUCACAUCCCUGGGAAAGGAUCUUCGAGAAAAAUGUGAUACUAUUUUGUCUAACUUAAAAUUAAGUUUAGAGAAUAAAAAUCGACUUCCACAAUAUAAAAAUAGUGAAUCUACUGUGACUCUGGCACCAGUAUCAUCACGCCACAAAGGACACGUUAAUCGAAAAAAUUUGUCUGGUCGGCUAAGCAUGUACAAUAUGGACGUUAAAAUAUCCAAGAAUAAUCAAAAGAAAAAGAAUAUUUUAAGAAGAAAAAGCUAUACUUGUCAAAAAGAAACAAAGAACAAUGUUGUAGAAUCUAAGAAUUUGUAUGUCCAACAUUGUUCAGUACCUGAAUUAUUGUAUCCUAGUCCUGUAUCAUGUACAUCAUCUUCUAAAGAGAUAGUUCAAACUGGUUCCAUGAAAAAUGCAAGCUGCCUAAAAGAAGAUGAAAUUAAAACUAUGAUGGAUGGGGUAUCACUAGAUUCUGAACAUGAUAGUAACCGAAACACCCAUACCAAAUAUAAAAAUGUGGAACAGCCUACUGCGACAAGGAAGAAAUCUUCUGUAGACAUAUGUCAAUCAAAGCAUACAAAAAAGAAAGAAAUAUGUCAAAAAGUCGAGGAUGUUACUAACGACGAUGAUUUAUUUAAAAAAGUAACAGCCAUUAGCAAAGAACAUUUAGCUACUCUAGCUCCUGUGUUAAGCGGUUUGGUCACGUUAGUUUCAAAAAAGAAAAUUGAAUCAAAAGAGAAACCAGUUUCGGAAACAUCAGUGGAGGCACUAAUUGAAUUUUUGCAAAAAUAUCAAUCUCCUAAAGAUUCCGAUACUAAAGCACCGUUGACAGACGAAGAUUCUGACCAAUAUGACUCGAAAUUAAAUGGGUCAUCUAAUGUUCAGAAACAGGAUGCAAAUGUCCGACUGAUUUGCAUGUCAUCUACGGAUAAAAUUUCUAAAACGACACAAUGCAAUGUUUCAUGUCAGGCAGAUUGUGAAACUACAUUGAAGGAUAAUGAUGACAAAAAGACUGCGAAUACCAAAGAUAAAGUAAUGUUAACUGUUUCAAAAGAAACCGAAUUACAAUUUCUAUCCUAUAGAUUGGAAUAUCAAAAACAAUGUCAGUCAAAGCCAAUGUAUUCUAGUAAUACUCAAAAUAAACCAUGGAACAUUGUAGCAUGGAUCUCUGACAAAUUAAUAGAAGAACUAAUCACUGAGAUAACAACAGAAUUGCAGAUGAAUGAAUGCAGCGCCAAUGAAGAUAGAAUGAGACAAGCAAUUUUGAGAUUAUACAAAGAUUUGUUACGUUACGGUGAAAAUUUAAAAUAUACAGACAAGGCAUACUUUCGGUAUAAAAUUCGUAGCAAUUUUAAAGAAAAUAAAGAUAUAACCGAUCAAAAGCAAAUCGAAUUGCAAUUACAGAAGGGGCAAAAGUUAUUGCAAGAACAACGAGUUGUAUAAUUAUCUGUAACAAAACUGUAAUUCUACAAUGUUCACGUCGUUAAAAUUAACAUCAAAUUUGAAGUAUUUUCUGAACAAAAAUUAUCAACUACUACACAAAUGUUCCUAAACUCGAAGAAAGCGACUUGGAAGAACAGUUUGUAAAAGGAAGUGGACCCGGUGGUCAAGCAACAAACAAAAC